AAGUCGUAACAAGGUCUCCGUAGGUGAACCUGCGGAGGGAUCAUUACAACGUAUCCAACGUAUAAACCUUUGUGAAUUUGUUUUUAUAACAACGAAACGAAUCGAAGCCUGUGCAGAGAGAGGGGGCAACCUUUUUCGAUGCACGACUUUGGCUCUUUCACUUUACUUUAAACCUUUUGCACUAUUAUUUGUAACAUGAGUAUGCAAACGCGUCGAAAGGCGUGCUUUGUCAUAUUUCUUAUUAAAUUAAGAAAUUAUACGCACAACUCUUAGCAACGGAUAUCUAGGCUCUC
This 293-nucleotide unclassified non-coding RNA is filed under the name fungal sp. Its description in RNAcentral is "partial internal transcribed spacer region". The stretch from base 1 to 46 matches the Rfam family "Eukaryotic small subunit ribosomal RNA", at positions 1786 to 1831 of the family's 1831-position model. Lineage: Eukaryota; Fungi. The record is from RNAcentral.